This 249-nucleotide ribosomal RNA is filed under the name Clinopodium fasciculatum. Its description in RNAcentral is "5.8S ribosomal RNA". The stretch from base 91 to 246 matches the Rfam family "5.8S ribosomal RNA". Rfam says of the family: 5.8S ribosomal RNA (5.8S rRNA) is a component of the large subunit of the eukaryotic ribosome. It is transcribed by RNA polymerase I as part of the 45S precursor that also contains 18S and 28S rRNA. Lineage: Eukaryota; Viridiplantae; Streptophyta; Magnoliopsida; Lamiales; Lamiaceae. The record is from RNAcentral.
UGCGCCAAGGAAAACCGAACGAAGCGUCCGCCCCUGGCAUCCCGUUCGCGGAGCGUGCCGCGGGAUCGGGCGUCUAUCAAAUGUCAAAACGACUCUCGGCAACGGAUAUCUCGGCUCUCGCAUCGAUGAAGAACGUAGCGAAAUGCGAUACUUGGUGUGAAUUGCAGAAUCCCGUGAACCAUCAAGUCUUUGAACGCAAGUUGCGCCCGAAGCCAUUAGGCCGAGGGCACGUCUGCCUGGGCGUCACGC